CCUAAAAUUGCAUGCAAACUUCUGUGCGGAUUUGUCUUUUGUUUUCUGAGGAGAGAUAAAAAUUCCAUUGGAUUCUCAAAGGGACCCAUGCUCUCAAAUGUUAAAAACAAACGCUUAAUUUAUUUCUGGGAGUCAAUUUGGCAAUUUGUGCCCCUCAAAAAGGUCACAGGGUUUCUGAAAUCUCACCUUGUCAAUGGAGUGACUGUGAGCUGAACUAUUAAUUGCAAUAGAUGAUGGAAGGAAGGUUCUACUUGAGGACAUCCUCAGUGGCAUCUGGUGAUUUUGUAACCUGAAGUCAAUUUAUCAGAUCAAGUUGACUU
Molecule: long non-coding RNA, 320 nt
Organism: Hyaena hyaena (striped hyena)
Lineage: Eukaryota; Metazoa; Chordata; Mammalia; Carnivora; Hyaenidae
Exons: 3
Source: RefSeq, a predicted model, not a curated record